CGGACGGGUUAGUAACGCGUGGGAACAUACCCUUUUCUACGGAAUAGCCUCGGGAAACUGAGAGUAAUACCGUAUAAGCCCUUCGGGGGAAAGAUUUAUCGGGAAAGGAUUGGCCCGCGUUAGAUUAGAUAGUUGGUGGGGUAAUGGCCUACCAAGUCUACGAUCUAUAGCUGGUUUUAGAGGAUGAUCAGCAACACUGGGACUGAGACACGGCCCAGACUCCUACGGGAGGCAGCAGUGGGGAAUCUUAGACAAUGGGCGAAAGCCUGAUCUAGCCAUGCCGCGUGAGUGAUGAAGGUCUUAGGAUCGUAAAGCUCUUUCGCUAGGGAUGAUAAUGACAGUACCUAGUAAAGAAGCCCCGGCUAACUCCGUGCCAGCAGCCGCGGUAAUACGGAGGGGGCUAGCGUUGUUCGGAAUUACUGGGCGUAAAGCGUACGUAGGCGGAUCAGAAAGUAUGGGGUGAAAUCCCAGGGCUUAACCCUGGAACUGCCUCAUAAACUCCUGGUCUUGAGUUCGAGAGAGGUGAGUGGAAU
RNAcentral lists this ribosomal RNA (533 nucleotides) under uncultured bacterium. RNAcentral's name for it is "bacterial SSU rRNA". It matches the Rfam family "Bacterial small subunit ribosomal RNA", at positions 99 to 667 of the family's 1533-position model. The record is from RNAcentral.